This 325-nucleotide ribosomal RNA is filed under the name uncultured bacterium. RNAcentral describes it as "bacterial SSU rRNA". It matches the Rfam family "Bacterial small subunit ribosomal RNA", at positions 28 to 334 of the family's 1533-position model. The record is from RNAcentral.
GACGAACGCUGGCGGCGUGCCUAACACAUGCAAGUCGAACGGAGUUUAAUAACGGAAGCCUUCGGGCGGAAGAUAUUAAACUUAGUGGCGGACGGGUGAGUAACGCGUGAGCAACCUGCCUCUCAGAGGGGGAUAACGUUUGGAAACGAACGCUAAUACCGCAUAACAUAUCUUUACCGCAUGAUAGAGAUAUCAAAGGAGCAAUCCGCUGAGAGAUGGGCUCGCGUCCGAUUAGAUAGUUGGCGGGGUAACGGCCCACCAAGUCGACGAUCGGUAGCCGGACUGAGAGGUUGAACGGCCACAUUGGGACUGAGACACGGCCCAG